UAGUAUGUUCAUGCAUGAUGUCAAAGGCCA
RNAcentral lists this non-coding RNA (30 nucleotides) under Mus musculus (house mouse). The record is from RNAcentral. Lineage: Eukaryota; Metazoa; Chordata; Mammalia; Rodentia; Muridae.